GACGAACCGUGCGAACGUUAUUCGGAAUCACUGGGCUUAAAGCGCGUGUAGGCGGGCCGGCACGUCGGUCGCUGAAAUCCCCCGGCUCAACCGGGGAAGGGGCGCCGAUACGACCGGCCUGGAGGGGCGUAGGGGGACCGGGAACUUCCGGUGGAGCGGUGAAAUGCGUUGAGAUCGGAAGGAACGCCCGUGGCGAAAGCGCGGUCCUGGACGCCUGCUGACGCUGAGACGCGAAAGCCAGGGGAGCGAACAGG
This 254-nucleotide ribosomal RNA is filed under the name uncultured bacterium. RNAcentral describes it as "partial 16S ribosomal RNA". It matches the Rfam family "Bacterial small subunit ribosomal RNA", at positions 524 to 776 of the family's 1533-position model. The record is from RNAcentral.